CAGAAAGAGGAACAACAUCUUUAUUAUGGGGUGCAGUUGGGGAGGCAUCAGUUUGCAGCUGCCGAGCACAUGAAGGUGAGUGUUCUCUCUGUAUAAUGUGCAUGGCUAAUAGAAAUCAACAGGUGUUAGACAUGUGCUUAUUCAGGUGGGGCACGGGUGGUGCUGUGGUCUAAACCACUGAGCCUCUUGAGCUUGCCGAUCAGAAGGUCGGCGGUUUGAAUCCCCGCGACUGAGUGAGCUCCUAUUGCUCUGUCCCUGCUCCUGCCAACCUAGCAGUUCAAAAGCAUACCAGUGCAAGAGAUAAAUAGGUACCGCUGUGGCGGGAAGGUAAAUGGUGUUUCUGUGUGCUCUGGUUUCCGUCACAGUGUUCUGUUGAGCCAGAAGCGGUUUAGUCAUGCUGGCCACAUGACCUGGAAAGCUGCCUGUGGACAAAUACCAGCUCCCUCGGCCUGAAGCAAGAUGAGCACCACACCCCAUAGUCGCCUUUGACUGGACUCAACCAUCAAGGGGUCCUUUACCUUUUACCUUUACCUUAUUCAGGUAUAUACUUCUGUGUAAUUUAUUUAUUUAGUUCCCUCUUUUUCUCCAAACAAUUCAAGGUAGUUGUACACACUCCCCCCCCUCCUUUUUUUCCUUGCAACAACUCUGUGAGGUAGGUUAGUGAGGCAGUGACUAUGAUCACCCAGUGAGCUUCAUGGCCGAGUGGGGAUUAGAACCCUAGUCCAGCACUCGUAACCACUGCACCACAUUGAUUCUCUGUUACUGAAGCCACAUAUACAGUACAAUGCAAUGCAAUGCAAUGCAACUAAAAUAAUUAAUAUUAAUUAUAUUACUAAAAUCACUUGAGCCACUUCCUAAAAUGACCCACAACCAACUAUUUUAAAAGGAUGCGUCUCCUCCUAAUAGAAGUUUAUCCAGACCAUCUAACAAAGAUACAUAUUCAGGAAUAAAAUCCUGUUCCACAGGUCUGUUCCAAGCCACCUCUGUGAUGCUUUUAUCUCCUCUGACAAUAUUACUGUCGGGGCAACUGUAAAAACAUAAAAUAAAAUCUGAAUUUAAAAAUAAUAGCAUACUACUACCUGACCUAGUGACAGUAGCUAUAGAAUUAAGAAUCAAUUCAUCUGCACUUCCAGAAAUGUCCUAUAUUACAUCACUUGCCAGCAAUGUCUUCAUUUCAGCAUCACUGUCACUAAGUCAAAGAUGCUUUGCCCAUCAUAUUUUUCUUCCACAGAACCAUGUGUGUGAAAGACACAUUAUGCAAGAUGCAAUGGGGCUGUUCUUUUUUGGCCAUGAGUACACUGACUGGGAAGUCACGCAGGAAUCUCUGCAUAGGAAAUUGUUACAACUCUUUGAUAACGGAUGUGAAGUGCAUUAUAGACACUUUUAAAUAAAAACAACAGGUAGAAACUGAGGUAUCUGCAGUCACAAUAUAGGAAGCUAUCAUAUGAAAUCAAGGUAGAAGCUGUAUUUCUGAGCAACCUUUCUUCCCUGAAAAAUAGGUACGUGUGUUACCCUACCGAAAUGACUUUGGGUUGCAGUGAAAAUUAGAGGUCUAAAUUACUUAGAAGCCACCUGGGCAUUAAGCAGUGGAUUCCAGGUCCCACCUUGUCCUUAUUGCUUAGAGUCAUUUGAGAAAGCUGCAGCCAACAUGGCACCCAUUGGUCCUCCCUAAUGCCCAUAAACAGAAUAUACCUCUUAAGGCCUUAUUCAUGGAUAGCUCAGUUGGUUAGAGCGUGGUGCUGUUAAUGCCAAGGUUGCAGGCUCGAUCCCCAUAUGGGGCAGCUGCAUAUUCCUGCAUUGCAGGGGGUUGGACUAGAUGAUCCUCAAGAUCCCUUCCAGCUUAAGAAUUCUAUGAUUCUAUGUAAAAAAAUGCAUCAAAAUUGCACAUAGCUUCUAAAUGUCAAGGUAAAUCUGAAUUUUUUAUUUGAUUUGAUUUUUUAAAAAACCAAUCACAACAUUUAAUACACUCUUUUGACAGAGGUGAAAGAUGUGUUCCUUAUUUGACAGCUUGUUGUUGUUGUUAAUUUAUUAUUUAUACCCCGCCCAUCUGUCUGAGUUUCCCCAGGUUAUGCUGUUGAAGUUGGGAGCCUCGUCUAGUUAUUGUCUCCAAACUGAGUUAUAUGCCACACGUUUACAUAACUGUCCCUCCACAACCCCCGUCCCUUUUCUCUUUCAGCUUCAGCUGUUCAGCAGCUCUGUCUCAUAUAAAAGGACCACCUUCCUAAUCUAGUUUUAUGGUCUGAUGACCAGGAUGGUGCUUGGUUUGCUUUCAAGGCAGGAAUAUGAGAAAGAAGAUCCCUAUUGACAAUUCAGACUAAUAGGAUUGCUGUAUGUUAUUUCCCUACUAGUUUGGUUUCCCUGCCAAUAUCCUCAUCUGAAAGUCUGGAGAAAAUCCCAGUCAGAGGGAUGCAGAGCUCCACAAUCCUCAGCAGCUUUGCGGAAAGCCAACAGCUUGGAAUACUUCUGCCCAAAGUAGAUUUUGUUUAAGAAACCAAAACAAAUCUAUGCCACCGUACAGUGCUUUCCUAGGAUCAGUUGUUCCAAUUGCCUCCUGCUGUGGGUUACAAGUAUGAAAGAUCUUCUGGGAAAGCAGUGAUCAAGGCAUCUUAUCCCACUGCCAGGAACAGGAUUUUUCAGGAGGCCUUCUUAAUCCAUCAGAAUCAAGAUGAAGAGGUGGAGGGAGGGUUUUGAAGAGAACAGCCUUAUCUUAAAUUUUGAGAAGCAAGAUAAGGGAGAACUUAAAAUGCAACAUUUUGGUCUCAUUCCCCUCCUGGAGAUGAGGAAAGGGAUGCAAGUUGAAGUCAUUUUUUCCAAUUCUGAUAUCCCCAUUGAAAAUAGACAUAUAUGCAGGUCUACUUCAGAAUGAGAAACUGGAUAACACUGCAAGUUUGUUUGGUUUAUUUAUUUAUUUAUUAGAAAACAGUAUCAGUGCAUUAAUAAUGUUUCAAUUACACAAACAACCUCCGUCUUCCCCUGCAUAGCUGGUUGCUGUUAUCGCGAAUUCUCCCUGCGUGUGUGUUUACAAAGGUCAUCUACUCAAUACUUUAUAAAAAGAAACAUAUCUUUGUGUUCACAAAACACCCAAUUAGUUUGUCAAAUGCCAACAUUUCCUUACAGAAAAUGCCGCUGUUAGAACCACCUCUUCCGCCUAUUAACUGCUCUUCAUCUCUCCUUUUAAAGUAAAACUGGAGGCUAUCAUUUGGUUUCUGCCUGUUAGCGAAGACAUUUGUUACCACCUGUCUCAAGUAAUUGUAUGUUUUGAGUGGUUUCCUACGAUAAAUUACAGGCCACACAGAAUUGCAUGGGUAGAGUACACACUGCACACUGCACUCCUGGUUUAGGCAGCUUGUUGUGAAAUGCAAACCACAGUCUACCUAUAUUAAGCAUUCCAAAUGCAGUUGGGAUUGAAUGCAUGCGCACACUGUGUGGUAAUGUGCAUUCAGUGCUGGAUGCAAGUACCUUUUGGGGGCAAGGGGUGCACACACAACAUAAACCUGACGUCAUCCCUGCCCCCUCUCCAUAAUAUUCAUCCAAUCUUAACUGCAUUCUGCUGGAACAGUCAGAAUCCUUCUGUGCUGAGAAUAUACUUCUCCAGCACUUGCUGCACACAUGUGCACACAGAGAGUGCUUUCUCAGGUCACCUCCUAUUGGAGCAGACCUACUGACAUUGCAGGGCUGUGCCACACCUCCUACCAUCUCUGUAGCCCGAAUGUUGUUGUUUAGUCGUGUCCGACUCUUCAUGACCCCUGGACCAGAGCACACCAGGCACUCCUGUCUUCCACUGCCUCCCGCAGUUUGGUCAAACUCAUGCUGGUAGCUUCGAGAACACUGUCCAACCAUCUCGUCCUCUGUCGUCCCCUUCUCCUUGUGCCCUCCAUCUUUCCCAACAUCAGGGUCUUUCCCAGGGAGUCUUCUCUUCUCAUGAGGUGGCCAAAGUACUGAAGCCUCAGCUUCACGAUCUGUCCUUCCAGUGAGCACUCAGGGCUGAUUUCCUUAAGAAUGGAUAGGUUUGAUCUUCUUGCAGUCCAUGGGACUCUCAAGAGUCUCCUCCAGCACCAUAAUUCAAAAGCAUCAAUUCUUCGGCGAUCAGCCUUCUUGCUACCCGGCAAAUUAUUCUUGAUCCAUAGCCACGUGUUUCUUUGGUUCUCGAUUAUAGAGGUGCAAUGGCACUUCUAUAGAAAUCCCCUCAUGAAUAACGAAUAUUAGAUCCCUGACGUAGCCAGAAUUUUUUUUUACUCUCAGUUUAAAAAUAUGACUGGGGGCUUCCAAGGAGACUCAUAUGAGCAUUGGAAGAGUGCAGGGUUCGGGCAGAUUAGCCCAAGUGAAAACCUCGUCUCAUUGGCAUGUCCUUUUAGGAAGGGUUAUUGCACCUGCUCUGCAUAUAAAAAGUCACUGGUUCAAUCCUCAGCAUCACCAGGUAGAACUGGGGAAAACUCCUGCCUGAACAUGCCUUAGCCCCAUUGGUAAAAAAGGUAAAGGACAACUAUAUAGUUAAAGCUAUGGUAUAGUUAAAGCUAUGGUUUUCCCAGUAGUGAUGUAUGGAAGUGAGAGCUGGACCAUAAAGAAGGCUGAUCGCCGAAGAAUUGAUGCUUUUGAAUUACAACAAAGGACAACUGGACGGUUAAGUCCAGUCAAAGGUGACUAUGGGGUGCAGAUGGGUCUGCCCCACCAGCCCCAGCUAACAUGGAUGAGGAACAUCUGAGAGGGUACACUGGCUACCUCUAUAGACAAUACUGAGCUAUAUGGACCAAUGUUCUGAUAGCAUAAGACAGCUUCCUGUGUCCCUAUGUUGUAUACACAUUGAGAAGCACUGCUAAAAAUGAACAAUACAUCUGGGCAAAGAGGUUGCUGUGCUAUAUGGAAAAGAUUUCCUGAAUUCUGUGGGUGCUCAAAUUCUGCUUUGAACUUUGAUUGCCCUUGUCAUAUCAUACACAGUACGUAUUUUUGCCCUUUGGCAAGGGGAAAAAAAGAAAGCUGGCUGCAGUUUGUCCACAUGACCUCCUGCUACAAUGAAAUUCCAGCACUCAGUGUGUAGCCGUAGUCUCUUGCAUUUCACUAUAUUGAACAGUUGUUAAUUUAAUCAAGCACCUUACUGUGGGACAAAGCGAAAGAAACAAACUGAUGAGUUUUCACUGUGCCCUCAGUAGGAAAAUAGUUGGACCACAACUGGCCAUGAUUUAAUUUAAAUCCCACUGCUGGAUUCAAUCAGUAAGAUUACAGAGGGUGUGUAGGUGGAUACAAAAAAAUUCACUCUGAUGUCAGUGUGAAAUAAUAUUCCAAAUGCAAGACCAUUGCUAUUAAAGCCAGAUUCACAUUGUAGAGCUGCACAAAAAGCAGCAGCUGAAAAUUGUUUUUCCUUUUCUCCCUUUCCUUUUUGGUAAUAAUAAUUAUUUGUAUUAAGUACCCAGCAGUCUGCAAAAGCUACAUCACUUAAAGGUCACUGGAAAGGUAUUCACUGCUCACAAGAGAUAUCGGGUAAUCUUAUGGUAUGUUUUGCAAAGUUUCACAAAUGAACUCUACUCAUCCCUUCCUGCCAAUAACCAAAGAGAUUAUUCAAAUACCAUAUUCUACAUAUGCAUAUAUGCAAAAAUGUGAAUGGUAUCUAUAGGAGGGAUAAUAGCUCUUCAAAAAACUGGGCUUGCGAGCUUUAGUUGGUAAAUUUAAUCAAUUAACAUUCUACUUGAAUAAUUAGUGGGGGAGCUAUUUUAAACACUGAGGGCAUAUUUAAAUUGGUUGGGCAAGAGAAAAGCAUACUUGUUUAUUUGUUUUGGUUCUUGGGUGUUACUCUAAUGGGGUAUGAAGAAGAAAAUGAGUCUAUUUGGAGCUGGCUAAAAGGCAAUUAAAUUCCAUCAGUUUUGGACUAGACUUGGGUCACCCACUGCCAAGAAGAUGCUGCUGCUCUGUAAAUAACACUUCAGCAUGGCCAUGCAAGCAGCCAUUGCCAACCCAGUCAGCAGCUGGCAGGAGUUGCAAUCCAAAACAUCUGAAGGGCACUAGCUUGGUGAAGGCUGUCUUAAAGGGAUUGGCAAGUCUUUUCAAAGAGCAUAUGGAACUGCCAGUUUGAGGGCAGGCUCCAACCUCAUGAUGAAACAACAAUAAUGUGCAAUGAUUUUGUUCCUCUUUAAGAUGGCAGUCGCUAAGAUCUUGUGGUUCUUGAAUCCUGACAGAGACUGGAGUUGUAUCCACCUACCCCUAAGGAGGCAGGUUGAAGACUCAAGAGGGUCUCUGUGAAAGCACUGGUGCUCUCAUACUUGAAAACCAAGGGGCAAUGUGUCUUCAAGUAUAAUUAAUAAAGCCAGUAUAGUAUAAUAAUUAUAAUUAGUACCUUCCAUGAAAGAACAGUCAACAUUUAUUGAUCCCCCAAAGCUAUUUAAGGUCCCUCAGUGACUAUAAUCAGCAAUUUACACUUGCAUUUGCUGUAUUUAUUUACUUGAGCUUAAAAAAGAAACCCAGACUAGUCCAUUUUCAGAUGUGCUGAUAAAUGUAAGUAAGGCAACCCAUCAAUGAUAAAUAUUACAGUUUCAUCUAGCUAUUGACAUAAUUAACUAAACAAUUCACACUCUGCUCACAAAGCAGUUAGCACUUUGUUAUUUAAUAUUCUAAUAUUUAUGAAUGCUGGGAGGCCAAACGACCUGUUAAGUACAUAUUAUCACUCUUAAAAUAAGUGACUUUUAAAGGAAACAAUGGAAACCAAGGUAGACAAUCAUGUUACGAUCAAGUCUAUGGCAGGCAAACCCUGGAUCUUAGGAAGAACUGCAGUAGCCAGGAAAGGAAUCAAUAUGGUGAUUGACAACUCCUACUACGCAAACCAGUAAUUUAACAUUGCCAGUGCCAACGUACGAGAUGCCAAAACAAAGGAGGCAAAUUUUCAUAUUAACUACAAAUGCUGUCCUGAUUCAUCUAUCGCAGCCUCUCCUUGUGCCUUUCCUGUCACAGCAUCAAGGACGGCAGACCUACAGAAUUUGAGGGCCAACCUACCAGUGACUUGAGAGUUUUAGGUCCAGGAUAAUUAAGGGAGUACCUAAUCCCUUGAGUUCUCACUUGAUUGCUGAGGUAUUUGGGGGUCCACCUUACUGAGAUGUUGUGGGUCCAAUUUUGUGCAACUCCCUUCUAGCUGAGGUCAGACACACACCCUCCCUGUUGAAUUUCAUGUGUCUGCUGAAGACCAUUUUUAUUCCAGCCGCCUUUUCAAUUGAAUUCUGAUUUUAUCAUUUUAAUUCUUUUUAAUUCUAUUAUAUUAUACCGAGUCUUCACCACUGAGAAAGGACUGUAAAUUAAGUAGUACAUAAAAUGUAAAUUAAGUAGUAUAUAAAUUGUCAAAUUUAACACACACACACAAUUAUCACUGUGCCACCCUACACCUGCCUUCUCAGAUGCAAGUCUCAUCAAGUUCCAAAGGCCUUACUCCCAGGUAAGUGGGUUUAGGAUUAGUCUUGGUCUCUUUCGUUCUCUGAACUAUUUCAUUACUUUGAAUUUAAUUUUAUAUUACAUAUUUCUUUCCCCUACCCACACCACAUAUAAAUCAUUCCUGACCAGCCUGAAAAACCCCUUAUGGUAUCCCUUCCUGUUGAUAAAAUGUGCUGCUAACUGCCAUUCUUUCUCUCUUGGAUUUUCUGCCUGGACAGUUAAUCAUUUCUGUCAAUGGAUGGAAGAAAGAUGAUAUCUCUGUCUUCCAAUAUUUCACACUUCUGGGAGAGACAUCUCUUCUUCAGUCUCUUAAUCACAAAACUGGAAUGCUGACAAGCGCCUGGCAUUUGAGACUGUAUUUCUGGGAACUCUUACUAUGGUAUUCAUUAACUGAUUCCUGUGAUGGUGAUUAUGGCAGUAGAAAAAUAACAAACAACAGAUAAGGUUAUUUGCACUGGGACAGUUGUCUUGCUCUUGUUUGUUUUUCCCCUCUGUUGUCUGAUUGGCUCUGAUUUUGCAGUUCCUGUGCAGCUUCAGUCUUAACCUUUAGAAUCGCUUGGUGUAAACCUAACAGUAGGAAUAGGAGAGGAUUUGGGAAAUAUCACGCUGAGAUGCAAGGCUUCCUGGAUUCCUAUCAAACUCCCCUCCUCUCAGGGGAAAGGUCUGCAGCUUAAGGCCAACUCCUAAUUAUAACAACAGAUUUGAAGUCAUCCCCAAUCACGUCAAGCUCUUUAGCAAAAACUAAAAGUCAUUGAUGGGAUUGUACCAUUGCACCCUUCAGCAUACUGUUAUUAACACAUAAGACUACAAUUUAUAUCAUGUCAAUGUAACAUUAAGUUUAAACAACUGGCCCAUAAGCAUCAUAAAUUCACAUAGGUCCUCAUUUAACUUUUAUUUCAGAACUCAUCUAAAUGUUGUUGUUUUUUCUUUCUGAUUUGGCUUUCUAUGUAGAUUGGCCAAGACACAAUGAGAACAAAUUCUCAUUCACAAUGAGAACAAAUUUCAGAACGAAUUCUGAAAAACAGCAGUUUUAACCCAUUUCAGAAGAGGCAGCAUAUCCUAUGUAGUUUAAAAAACGAGUUCAUUGUUGAGUGAGGUUUCAUAGCCAAUAAUCUUCAUCAUCGAAUGCUUGGUAUGGUUUAGGAAGACAGAGAUACACACACAUACUAGAGUGCAAAAAGCUCAAGUUUGAAAGGUAAGACCUAAGAUUUAAAAAAAGUGCAACUCAUUGAGAUAGGAGGAUGCGUCAUAUAUUCCAAGCACAUUGUGCACUUCCUGGUGCAUUAAAUGAUCGCUGUGGGUUAAACCACAGAGCCUAGGACUUGCUGAUCAGAAGGUUGGCGGUUCGAAUCCCCGCAACAGGGUGAGCUCCUGUUGCUCGGUCCCUGCUCCUGCUAACCUAGCAGUUCGAAAGCACACCAGUGCAAGUAGAUAAAUAGGUACCGCUCCAGCAGGAAGGUAAACGGCGUUUCCAUGUGCUGCUCUGGUUCACCAGAAGUGGCUUAGUCAUGCUGGCCACAUGACCCGGAAGCUGUAUGCUGGCUCCCUCAGCCAAUAAAGUGAGAUGAGCACCGCAACCCCAGAGUCGGCCACGACUGGACCUAAUGGUCAGGGGUCCCUUUACCUUUACUUUACUAAACCAUAGCUGUUAACAUCACCUAGAGCAGGGUUGAUUAGGCCACUGGUUCCAACUGGAUGCCAACAGGCCUUCUCUGCAGUGGCUCCCCGUCUGUGGAAUGCUCUCCCGAGGGAUGUUCACCUGGCACCUUCAUUAUACACCUUUAGGUGCCAGGCAAAAACCGAAGUACCACUGUAGCAUAUAUAUACAUAACAGUAUAUAUAUACAUAACAGUGUUUCCAGUAUAAGAUGAAAUAAUAAUAAUUAUAAUAAUUUAUUCUUUGUACCCCACCCAUCUGGCUGGGUUUCCCCAGCCACUCUGGGUGGCUUCCAACGAAGAUUAAAAAUACAUUAAAAUAACUUGUUUGGGUCACCAGGAAUCCUCAAAACAAAACCUUGCUUCUCCAAAAUAUUUGUUGCUGCUCCUACUGAAAUUGUUGAAGCAGAGGCAAAAAUUGGUGGGUCAAAUUCCAUGACCUGUGACACACAGCAGGUCAGGCUAGGUAAUUAUAAAUUGUUCCUUCCGGCAUUAUGUCAUUUGGAAUCUGGAAUAACUAAAAAAAGUGGGGGGGGCCCUCUCUCUCUCUUAAUCACACUGAUGUCAGCUGGUUCUCCACAAGUCCUGUUGUACAAUGCUGAAAAAACAGGCAUGAACUAGUUGAUAAUUUCGGGCUUCUUCCUCUUUCAUUCAGCAAACAAAAAUAAAAUGGCAUGUACCUACAAAAAGGUGCUUUACCUUAUGGAAAAUACAAAGAGCACUGCCUUAAGGAGGAGAAGCCUAUUAGUACUGUAGUCUUCUAUCAGUCAAUUAACAUGCAUUUAUAUUAUGUUCCCUGUGCACCAUUCGGAAUGGCUAUGUGUAAGCAAUACAUUUCAGAGUAGAAUUGUUCCCCAGCUGUAUAGUUACUCUGAAAUUCUUUGUGCAGCAACUAAAUAGCUGCUGAGUGCCAUUGUGCAUAUUUGCAUGGUAUCUAGUGCAAUAGAAACACUACAAUUUUGGGUUGUAAAAAGUAAAAUAAAAUGAAUGAAAGUAUUUAUUCAAUUUUUUCUUUUAUUCUGAAGGCUUGACUCCUUUUGUUUGUUUGUUUUAAAAAAAUUCCUGGAGGGAAAGACCUAAACUGUUGUCAGGCAACUUAGAUAUUUAAUAACUGAGUAAAACAAACUGGAAGGGUAUUAUAAGUGAAGCCCGUAUGCGGCAAUGCAGAGUUAUGUCAUGACUUCAAAGGAAUGAACAGAAAUUGAAUUUUGAAUUACUUCUAAGCUCUUUUGCCAUUUUAAGUCCAAUACUGAUUGCUAGAUGAAGGGAUUAACUGUCCCUGUUCAUAUUUUUUUUUUCUUUUUUCAUUCUUGCUCUUCCUCUGACAAUAUUUUACAAAACAGUACACAGAGAAUUUCUUGAGGCAGAUCUCAGAAAGCAUUUCACCCCGUAUGAACCCCCUUCAAUAUUUAUUUAUUAUUUAAAAUUGAGAAAUAGCCCACGCAUAUAAAAUAUCAUGGUGGUGCACAGCAAUGCAUACGAAUGCAAUUAAACACAAAAUACAAUAAAAACAAUAAAAAUGACAAAAAUAAACUAUGUCUUAGCACAAUGAUGGGGAACCUGUGGGCUUCCAGAUGUUGAUGGACAUUCCCAACAGACCAAGGCAGCACUGCCAGUGAUCAGGGAUUAUAUACAUGUUAGUCUGUUAACAUCUGGAGGGCCACAGGUUUCCUGCCCCUGCUUUGGCAGAUUAACUUGUGGUGUUGAUGUUGAAGAGAUACUUGUUUAUUUAAAGGGUGGUAUAAAGAUGACCUUCCUUUGAAUGGUUGAUUUUGUUCCUUCACUUCCUUCACUAUCUCAGAAAGAUGCCAUUCUUGAUCUAGAUAAAUAUAAGGGUGAACAAUGGUUGAACCAGUCUUUGGCUGCUACAGGUUUGACAUUUCCCCUGAAGUUUAUGUCAUUGUUUUCACAUGGAAAUUUAAUUUGAAAACAGGUUCCUAGAGCCAUUGCUAUGGAAACAACAAAAAGGCCAAUAUCUGCUCUCAGUUGAUAAUUCCCAAAGAAUUCCAUAUAGGCCAGAACAGCUUUGGGGGGGGGGGAUGGCGAGGAGCAGAAUUUAGUUCUGCAAAUUAAAAUGAAAGCAAUAAUUUGCAAUGGUUGACAUAUUUAGCAUCAGUGCCAGAUUGUAGGCAGUCAUGCAUGAAGGGAGCUACAAUGCAAGUUUUGGCAGGGUUGAGACGAGGUGAUUGGAGGAAAGGGGCACUUUCCCAUCCCCAAGAAGGUCAAUCAGGAGAAAAAGUCAUGGGCAGGUCAGAGUCUGAGCCAAGAUUGUUCUUCAGAGAGGACUGGAGUCAGGAUGCAGCCAUACUUGGAGAAGGCUAGGAGGUCACAAGUAUGAGACCAUGCUGUCUCUUACCCAGCCCCAGGCCUGCCCAGAAGAUUUUUGUGGGUUGUCCAGUGUUCUGUCCAGAGGAUGGUGAGACUUGUGGGGGACACUUCUGCCCCUUGUUUGCAGCCUCAAAGUGGACAAUAACCACAAAGGCAUCAACAUAGAAAUAAGGAGGUUCUCUGUUCAGACAGCUGAUCCUUAUAGUUAAGUCUUACUAUAAGUUCUUACAGUUUGAUGAUGAUAGGAGUUUGAAAAGCAGAAUUUAUUAAUGUUUUAAAGGUGGAAGCCAUGUUAAAACUCCAUAAAAGAAAAUAUAGGGUUGUAUCCAAGUAACAGUGUAAGGAUUUCUGCUUCUGUGACAGAACGUCCCUCUUUUCUGUCCUUGUUGUUGUUUUCGUUUAGUUGUUUUGUCGUGUCCGACUCUUCGUGACCCCAUGGACCAGAGCACGCCAGGCACUCCUGUCUUCCACUGCCUCUCGCAGUUUGGUCAAACUCAUGCUGGUAGCUUUGAGAACACUGUCCAACCAUCUCGUCCUCUGCCGUCCCCUUCUCCUUGUGCCCUCCAUCUUUCCCAACAUCAGGGUCUUUUCCAGUGAGUCUUCUCUUCUCAUGAGGUGGCCAAAGUAUUGGAGCCUCAGCUUCACAAUCUGUCCUUCCAGUGAGCACUCAGGGCUGAUUUCCUUAAGAAUGGAGAGGUUUAUCUUCUUGCAGUCCAUGGGACUCUCAAGAGUCUCCUCCAGCACCAUAAUUCAAUUGUUCGGCGAUCAGCCUUCUUUAUGGUCCAGCUUUCACUUCCAUACAUCACUACUGGGAAAACCAUAGCUUUAACUAUAUGGACCUUCUGUCCUUGUGCAGCCCCUAAAUCUGUUCUAGGACUUCCCCGAUCCUCUGGAGCAAAUUUGGGGAGGGGGGAGGGCACACACAGGAGGAGGGUUGCACAAGUUCUGUUGCACAAGUCCACAGCAUUUUUAAAAACACAUUAAUUUGCUCAGCUAUGACUACUGAAUGUGUUUGGAAUAUGAAGAUCUGACAUGCCAAAAAUCUGAGGCUAUCACCCAAAUUGAUAUUCUGUAACUCAGGGAUGUCCAACAGGUCAAUCACAAUCUACUGGUAGAUCCCCGGGAGGUUUUAGUAGAUCACGGUUGAUCGCUGGGUCCCCUUCCUUAGUGGUGCUAAAAUUGAUUCCCGCCCCGCCCCCUCGCCCUGCCCUCCAUUGUUGCACGAUCUGCAGAAUGGAAGACGAAGUUUACUGAGUGAGGCUGUUUGUUUCCCCAGCGAUUUGUUGGUGAGUGGUUGUUCCUCUCCCCCCCAACCCCCCCUUAAAAUCGGGGCUUUCCUCCUCCCUAAAAGAAAUCAACAACUUUGACCUGAACCACCCCAAAAUGGGGGUAGAUCACUGCCAGUUUUUAAUUCUGUAAGUAGAUCACAGUCUCUUGGGAGUUGGCCACCCCUGUAGUGAUCUGGCUUUUAAUUGGUUGGUGGCAUUUAGGUAAACUGACAUAAUACAGAAACUUUCCCAUAGUUUCUCUUGUGGGAAAUUUGAAAUUAGGGCCAAGUUCCAUUUAGCGGGGUGAAUCACCUGUAAUUUAAAUUAAACAAACAAAAUGGUUUUUUAGACUAAUGGUGUAAUUCUAUAUACACACUUGGGAGUAAUUCUCAUUAAACUGAGUGGAACAGACUUUUGAAUAGGAUUGUACUGUAAUAUACCAGCACCAAAACAGCUUAAAAUAUUUGUGAUGUCAAUUAGUAUUUGCCAAGACAUCUUGACACUGAUGGAGGUGCUGUGUAAUUAAUAGCAGUAUAACAUGCAAAAAUUCAUCAGCGCCUACUGCCUUCAUCACUAAGGGCAGGAUUCAAGUAAUGAGUCACACCAGUAGAAGACCAUACAAAGUCUUCCACUUGCGGAAUGGGGUUUCCCCCCUCCACUUGUGCACCCCCAAAAAUUGGCUUUGAGGGGGAUCGGGAGAAUGCCUGAAACAGUGGAAGGGGAUAGGAAAACGGAAAUCUUUCCAUCUAGCAAGCUGAAAUUAUUGUCCUGAUGAAGCAGGACAUCUGAAGGUAGUCCUGUUCAGGAAAGAUUUUAGUGUUUGUUGUUUUUACAAUAUGACCCAGUCAGAUGGGUCCAGCAUUAUUAUUAUUAUUAUUAUUAUUAUUAUUAUUAUUAAUAGACACAGUAUGUAUCCCUUCCAGAAUGCAACAGCUAGACUGAUGACUGGGAGUGGCUGCCGAGACCACAUAACACCAGUUCUGAAAGAUCUACAUUGGGUCCCAGUACAUUUCCGAGCACAAUUCAAAGUGUUGAUGCCAACCUUUAAAGCCCUGAAGGAGCAUCUCCACCCCCAUCGUUCAACCCGGACACUGAGGUCCAGCUCCAAGGGCCUUCUGGUGGUUCCCUCACUGCAAGAAGUGAGGUUACAGGGAACCAGGCAGAGGGCCUUCUCGGUAGUGGCGCCCGCCUUGUGGAACGCCCUCCCAUGAGAUGUCAAAGAAAUAAACAAAGAAAUAAACAACUAUCUGACUUUUAAAAGACAUCUGAAGGCAGCCCUGUUUAGGGAAGUUUUUAAUGUUUGAUGUUGUCACUUUUUAAUUAAUGUUCUGUUGGGAACCACCCAGAGUGGCUGGGCAAACCCAGCCAGAUGGGCAGGGUAUAAAUUAUUAUUAUUAUUAUUAUUAUUAUUAUUACUACUACUACUACUACUACUUCCAGAAACUGUGCUCCUCCUGAAUGGCUGUUUGCGAAGCUACUAUUAACAGCAGAACUCAGGAAAAGAGUGACAACUCUAGGCUGCAAGCUCCAUUUCAAGAUAUAGACGGAUACAUAAAUACAUACAUUUAUUUAUGUUUCUUGGAGCCAAAAGAAUUGCUUGUAUGUUUCUCUGCCCUAUUAAUACCUAAUAAUAAGGCCUGAGAAGACUUGUGUGUGCAUGCAUUUAAUACGCUUGAAAUAAUAAUGGGUUUAUCUGUCUUAGAAAUAUAAUCUGUAGCACAGCAGGGUGAUAUAGUGUGGUUGAUAAAUUGAUUUGAUUAGAAAGUCACCUCAGAACUAAGGUGGAUUGUAAAGCAACAUUUAAUAACAUAUAUACCUCCCCCCAAUCGCUCAAUCUUACCUGGGAUAAAAGCCAUUAGGUAAUUUGGGUCCGGCAUGCAGUAGCAUCAGAAUUAGGCCAUAUGUCACAAGGGAAGCAUUGUUGAAAAGCCUGGAAAACUGACAACUGUAGGAAAUGGCCCUUCCUCCCUGAGUGUCUCUUUGAAUGCAAAGAAACCAUAGUAACAGCAGGGGAAGUGAAGGGAUGGCAGCUACAGAAUAAGCUUUCAGUCACCUGACAGCUUUAUAUCAACGAAGCUAUUGUUUUCUACCACACUGUACAAGGCCAUGAAGUCCCCCCCCCUUUUAUCUCUUACAGUAUUUGUUCAGUAGGUCUACAAAAAUUAUCCUCAUUUAUAGAUGCAUUUUAAAUCCAUGUUGCAGAUUGGGGGAUAUAGAUCGGGGUAGGCAACCUAAGGCCCAUGGGCCACAAGCGGCCCACGGGGGUCAUUUAACCAGCCCCCGAGCCACCCCCGAACCGAGCUGCCCGCUUGGCGAGUCCUCGCAGGCUGCGCUAAACUGGCAAAGCAUGGGGCGGGGACUCGCUUCCACAGCGCCGAAAAUCGCGUCUGCGCAGACGCAGAUGCCAGAAAUAGCGCACGUAAUCCGGCCCACGGAGGGAUCUCCGCUGGAGUGAACUGGCCCAGGCGAGGUAAACCUUGCCGCCCCCUGAUAUAGAUGAGUAAACCAGGAUAGAAAUUAACACCUUGGGCCUCCUUUCCUGAUGUGAACAGGCAAGUAAACAGAUUUUCACAAAGUUCUCAUGCCUUCAAUAGCUACACAUUCAAUAGCUACAAAUCAGAAAUUCAAAACGUAGAGCUGCACCUGUUGAAUUUUUAUUGCAUAGUUAUUGACAGUGUAAGAACCCUUCAAAAGAAGAAGACGGGUCUUCCCUCCAUUACAUUUGCAAGGGGUAGUGUUUUAUUUGCAACUUCUGAGGCCCAAAAUAAACAGUACAUCACUAAAAACCAUGUCAGGUUUGUUUGGGGGGAAACAUAAUAGCAGACGUGUGGUGGAUGGGUGUGAUUUUCAUCAGGAACAUUUGUGAGGAGGGGAGGCUUAACUCCCCAGCUAUGAUUCUGAUGAAAAUUCCCUACCUCAGUACUAUUAGCCUUAGAAAUCUCCCGCUUGUGCUAAUGGGAGCUCUCCACCAACACCAGACUAAUACUAGCUACUUUAAUUGGACUCACGGAUAAGGAGGGAGUGCUUAAAGUUUACCUUCCCACCCAAUACCUGUCACUGUUUUAAAAACGCAGCCUCUUACAUACUUUGUAAUUACCGGUAUGCAUGUCACAUCUACCGUAGGUCUAAAAGUAAGAAGUUAAAAAUCCACGCAGCUGGCUUGGCAGAGGAAAGACCUCUGAACUAGGGAGAGAACCAAGAGCGAGAUAAGCCAUUUCCAGGAUAUAUGUAAAAUAAUUUGUGUGGUAUGUCUAAAAUUUUUGUAUGUUAAAAUUAAUAAAAAAUAUUAUAAAAGAGAGAGAGAGAGAUAAGCCAUUUCCUGAUAUUGGUCUACUGGAGACCUUGAACCAUUUAGGCGCAUUACACAAUGGCAACCAAUCACACCUCCCAGUGGAUCCACCUUAUAUCACUCAUACAUUUGUUUCAUUCCCACUACUUUAUGUAUUUAUUUUGCAUACUUUUAGUCUGCAUUUCAACUUAAAAUGGAUUCCCAAAGCGGGUAACAAAAAAAUAAAAGCAACAACAAAACAGUAAGAACAAUCAUCAUGCUGCUUCUACGGUACAGUCCUGUAAGAACUAUAUUAAAACAUUGGAUCAAAAACCACCAAAAAUCCCUUCUUUUGCUCAACAAAGGGUAUUGAAAUGAAUGGGAGUUUUCUGGCAGACUCUUGGAGGAGCAUGGAAUAGUGCAAGCUUCCAUUCAUUUCAAUAUGGCUUGUGCAGAAGCAACUCUCAAUGGAUUUAUUUGAAGUUUGCACUAACGUGUAAAUUACAGGAUGCUAUUCCAAGCUGUGUUCUCUAUACCCUGAGUUUAAGAAUGUGAUGCGGGAAAACUCCCCCAGAGUUCAAAGAGGGUUCAUUCAUGCUUAUGUAUAGCGUCAGGCAAAGGGAAAUUGUUCAUGUGCCUGAUCGUUUUACAUGGGCAGAAAGGGAAACUAUUCAUCUGUCUGAUUUAACCAAGAACACACAAAGAGAACAGAUAUGAGAAACAGAAAGCAGUUAAACUGGUGCUUUUAUUGCAUAUGUCAAGAGGAAGAAGGACAUUUUACAGAAGGAUUUUAAUUUUUAACGUGACUUUCAUUUAGCUGAAUUCCUCAUAUGGCAGUCCACUUCGUCUUAUUUGUAAGCCCCAACAGUUCAGACUUAGCUCAUCGGGUGCAUGGCUUUGCAGGAAAUAAAACUACAGUAACGGAAUAUAUUAAAGUUGACACAGGGUUCAGGAGAAAGAAAUGUGGUAGAUAUUUUCCUGUUGGUUCCUCUUUUUUUAUUUGGGUCAUCUGACCUCAAAGGUCUCUAUAAUCUCAAGAUUGAGGCCUUGCUUACUAUGAACAGAAGCUGAAAUUUUGCACCUUAGGGAUCUUCCCACUAUGGAUGGGAAUUGGUAUGUGAUCAGUUUUGCUCCUGGCAAAUUAGCUGAUCCAGUUCCUUAUGAGCAGACCACAUUCCCUUGAAUACACACACAAAUGAAAGCAAUUUAAGCUUCCAGGUUGGCCCCAAAUGGAUGCAUCAGAGGGAAGGAUCCAGUUCAUGAGUAUUUAGCAGGACCACUAGUGAAAAUCACUGGGUCUCAUUAACUUAUGAUCAUAUUAUCAAGCCCCAUAGGUCUGUGAUCUAAAGCCCCAAUUUCUGUGUCAGCAAGAAAGAGCUUCAUGUUGCUUCACAGUAAAGCUGGCCCCAAUUAACUAGCAAAGGUGGAAGUGUACCAAUUUUGUAAUCUUGGACAUUUCAAAUGCUGUGGUAGUGUGCUGAUGAUGAAUUCUCUUGAGCUGGUUAUUUUGCUGAGAGUAAUCCAGCCCAGAAGUGGAAAGUUCACCCGAGGUCCCAUAAUCUCACCCUUUCAUAGGGGAUUCAUAAAUCGGCCAUGUACUCCAUUCUCAAGAACGGCACACUACACAUGUAUCAAGCAGUGAAGUGUCACAAACCACAAUGAAUGGCCAGAUAAGGCCAUGAUGGCUCUUCUGAGGGCUCCCUGAUUUUUCACAGGCAAUUUGUAGUUAAGUAUUCCAGGUAAAGUGUCAGCUUUAAUUCACAACACCUUUCAAAGCUGUGCUCACAGCAAGUGUUUACCUUGAGGUCAUAACUGAGGCCUCUGGCAGAGCAGUGGAAUAAUCAUACUGACAUGGCAGCUGCUGAAACCAAACCUGAGCACAUGGAUAAACAAGGGGAUACGAUCUAAGCCACCCUCUUGCACGCUAUGCAGUGAAUAAAUGCUAUCAUGCUGGGAGCUGGUGCACUAUCAGAGCUAAGCGUGCCAACCAACAGUGAGCUAAAGAUUCAGUUCAGCCAAGUAGCUACUAGAUAGCCCAAAGAUCCAAAUAGGUACGGUAAAGGAAAAGGACCCCUGGACAGUUAAGUCCAAUCAAAGACUACUAUGGGGUUGAGGCGCUCAUCUCACUUUCAGGCCAAGGGAGCCAGCGUUUGUCCACAGACAGAUUUCUGGGUUAUGUGGCUAGCAGGCCUAAACCUCUUCUGGCGCAACAGAACACCGUGACGGAAACCAGAGUGCACGGAAAUGCCGUUUACCUUCCCGCCGCAGCAGUAUCUGUUUAUCUACUUGCACUGGUUUGCUUUCGAACUGCUAGGUUGGCAGGAGCUAGGACAGAGCAACAGGAGCUCACCCCAUCAUGGGGAUUCAAACUGCCGACCUUCCGAUCAGCAAGCCCAAGAGGCUCAGUGGUUUCGACCACAGUGCCACCCGCGUCCCCAAAUAGACAAGAUGGCAGCACACCUUGGAUGUUACAGUAUGAGUCUUACUGAAAAGAUCAGAGUCUUACUGAAAAGAUCAGAAAACAGACAGAUCAGGAAAGGAAUGCCAUUUUUUUCUUUUUCCCAAACUUCCCCCCAUGAAACUACCUGCCCGCUAGGUCCAUUUCUCUCUGUGGGGAUUAUUUCUGCUCUUGGAUUGCAUCUGGGGAGGAAGCAGCUGGGGAGGUGGGGUUGAGAAAAGCACUGCCAGGGGUGGGAUUAAGAACCAGAAGAACAUCACAAGAGGUUACUGAAUCAGACCGGUGGCCCAACUAGACCAGCAUCCUGUUCUCACAGUGGCCAACCAGAUGCCUAUGGGAAGCCUUCAAGCACUUGCGGAAAAUACUAUAUGCCCAAGAAAUAGUGUUAUAUCAUGCACGUAAUGUGGCAUUUUCAGUCAUAUUCAUGCAACACACUGUUGACCUUGAAAGCCCAGCUGUCAAGUCCAACAUGGAGAAUCCCAUGGCUUCUUGUCCAACUCCUGCACACACAGCACAAGACAGAUACAGAUGGGGCCUAAACGGGAGUACAGUGGUACCUCGGGUUAAGAACUUAAUUCGUUCUGGAGGUCCGUUCUUAACCUGAAACUGUUCUUAACCUGAAGCACCACUUUAGCUAAUGGGGCCUCCUGCUGCCGCCACAGCUUGAUUUCUGUUCUCAUCCUGAAGCAGAGUCCUUAACCCGAGGUACUAUUUCUGGGUUAGCAGAGUCUGUAACCUGAAGCGUCUGUAACCCGAGGUACCACUGUACUUUCAUACACAUAUAAUGAAACUCAAAAGGCCACUUCUUAUUGUGGCAAUAUUGAUGGUUGAAUAGGGUUCUAUCUUAGUUUGAUUUCUCUCUGAUUCAUAGCUUUUUAGUAAAUCAGAAACUCUGAGUAACCAGUGCAAUAACAGCUUUUUUUUCAGAAGGGAAAGGAGAGAAAGAAAUCCUAGCCUAUUUGUAAGACUGAUGCCCAAAGGAAGUGAACAGCAUGAAAGUCACCAAGAAAAUUGCCACUAACUAAUUGGGCCCAGGGAGAAUUAGGGGCCUGACAUAUUUCACCAUAUUUCAUGGAAAAUAACCAAGAAGUGAAUGUCGCAUUAGAUGCUUGUGCAUUGAUUUAAUCAUAAUUGAACUCAGAAUGUUUCCCAGCUUCUCAAGAAUGCAAACAUAUUGUCGUAUCAUCUCAUUUUCUGCUUCCUGUGUCCAGGCACCCUCUGUGUCUAUAAGGCAGCCUUCUCCAGUCUGAAGAUCUCCAGAUGUUGACUGAAAUUCCCACCUGCCCCAGACAUCAUGGUUGCCUUGGAUGGGGCUGCUGGGAUUUGUCAUUCAAAACACCCGAAGAGUUCCAGGUUGCAGAAGGAUGGGCUCUGGUUUAGCCUUCACCACAUCUAAACGCAAAUUUUCUCAUAAAAACCCAAAACGAUUUCAACCGAGUUAGAGAGCAAACAGACUUUGGCAAUACUGAUAAACAACGAGCUGGAACAUUUUAUUUCUUGUUGCAGUGUGACAAUAACUCCUUUGUUUCACAGAGAACAGCAAGGAUCAGAUACAUGACUACAAUGCUUCUAAUCCCCACUGCCCACAUAUGGAGAUUAGAGGUGCUCCAGGAAUUUGAUCUUUGUGGAUUCUGAUACAAACUGACCUGAACUGUACUUCUUGCCUAAUUAGAGUGGAACUCGGUUAUCCACUGGCUUUUGCACUCCCCAAUGUUCUGGUGCAGUUUUCUUUUUGCUCAGAUCAAAUAGGUUGUAAAAUGUGAAUUCUGAGAGAAAAUAAAUUUUCGGCAAG
RNAcentral lists this long non-coding RNA (20176 nucleotides) under Podarcis lilfordi (Lilford's wall lizard). The record is from RNAcentral. Lineage: Eukaryota; Metazoa; Chordata; Lepidosauria; Squamata; Lacertidae.